GGCAAGGUGCAAAGAAACAUAAUCCACGUAAAACCAUAUAACGAUCAAGGCCCUUGGAGGAACACUGGAGUAUUCAGUCAUCUGUGCCCAGAUCCUUCAAGCCAGAGGCGCGGGACCUUGGGAAGUGUUGUUUCCUCUCAUUCACCCUCUCCUGAUUCAGUCACUCUAGACGAAUGGUUUGACCAAAGGGCCAAGAAGAAUAAAGAUUCCAAUGUGUGAAAAGUUUAAGAUCACUCAGCGUGCAAAAAUCGAGCAGUCUCCAUGCAAGGCAGAUAUGUACUUUGUGGUCAUCAAGCA
This is a non-coding RNA of Pogona vitticeps (central bearded dragon), 297 nucleotides long. Lineage: Eukaryota; Metazoa; Chordata; Lepidosauria; Squamata; Agamidae. The record is from RefSeq and is a predicted model, not a curated record.